AAGGAAAGUGCCACAGAAACAUACCGCCCGCCUCCAAGGCGGGUAAGGGUGAAAAGGUGGUGUAAGAGACCACCGGCGGGCGGGCGACCGUCCGGCCAGGCAAACCCCACCCGGAGCAAGGCCAAAUAGGAGGAGGAUGACGUGGCCCGCGUACUCCUCGGGUUGGCUGCUAGAGGCGGCGGGGAACCGCCGUCCCAGAGAAAUGAUUGCCCUCGACAGAAUCCGGCUUACAGGCCUGCUUGCGUG
Molecule: RNase P RNA, 246 nt
Filed under: Clostridiales bacterium
Lineage: Bacteria; Bacillati; Bacillota; Clostridia; Eubacteriales
Description: partial RNase P RNA component class A
Rfam family: Bacterial RNase P class A
About the family: Ribonuclease P (RNase P) is a ubiquitous endoribonuclease, found in archaea, bacteria and eukarya as well as chloroplasts and mitochondria. Its best characterised activity is the generation of mature 5'-ends of tRNAs by cleaving the 5'-leader elements of precursor-tRNAs. Cellular RNase Ps are ribonucleoproteins.
Source: RNAcentral